GAUGAACGCUAGCUACAGGCUUAACACAUGCAAGUCGAGGGGCAUCAGUUGGUUGCUUGCAAACCAAAGCUGGCGACCGGCGCACGGGUGAGUAACACGUAUCCAACCUGCCUCAUACUCGGGGAUAGCCUUUCGAAAGAAAGAUUAAUAUCCGAUAGCAUAUAUUUCCCGCAUGGGUUUAUAUUAAAGAAAUUCGGUAUGAGAUGGGGAUGCGUUCCAUUAGUUGUUGGCGGGUAAGGCCCACCAAGACUACGAUGGAUAGGGGUUCUGAGAGGAAGGUCCCCCACAUUGGAACUGAGACACGGUCCAAACUCCUACGGGAGGCAGCAGUGAGGAAUAUUGGUCAAUGGACGCGAGUCCGAACCAGCCAAGUAGCGUGAAGGAUGACUGCCCUAUGGGUUGUAAACUUCUUUAUAUGGGAAUAAAGUGGUCCACGUGUGGAUUUUUGUAUGUACCAUAUGAAUAAGGAUCGGCUAACUCCGUGCCAGCCGCCGCGGUAAU
This 501-nucleotide ribosomal RNA is filed under the name uncultured bacterium. RNAcentral describes it as "bacterial SSU rRNA". It matches the Rfam family "Bacterial small subunit ribosomal RNA", at positions 28 to 524 of the family's 1533-position model. The record is from RNAcentral.